This 200-nucleotide unclassified non-coding RNA is filed under the name Pleosporales sp. RNAcentral's name for it is "partial internal transcribed spacer 2". Lineage: Eukaryota; Fungi; Ascomycota; Dothideomycetes; Pleosporales. The record is from RNAcentral.
UUAAGUUUAGCAAGUAUCCCUACCUGAUUCAAGGUUAAACUAGGGGUUUCUUGCUAGACGCGAGCCCGCCAGGAGCCUUCUGAAGCGCAAUGUGCUGCGCGAGAAGCCAGCGAUGCCGCUGCCAAUAGAUUUGGGGCGAGUCCUCGCGUGAAGCAGGGACAGACGCCUAACACCAAGCGAGGCUUAAAGGUGUAAAUGAC